GUUGCACAUAUAGUAACCCACCAAUAAAACCCUAGAUUCAUGGGAUUGAUCUACUUAGAAGCUUGCCUAGGGUCCAUUUGGCCCAUUCCAAAGCAUAAAAACCCAAAACCCUAAGUUCUAGAAGCUAGGGUUUAGUAGCUUACCUCAAGAGCUACACCAAUGGGAAGAGGAGAGGGAGAUGGAGGUGCUCAAAGCCUUCCUCUUGAUCUCCUCCUUCUUCUCCUUCCUUAUCUUCCUCUUUUUUUCCUUCCUCUCCUUCUUGUUCUUCUUCUUCUCCUUUCCUUUCUAGAGAGAGAGAGAGCAAGAGAGAAAAAGAGUGAGAGAGAGAGAGAAAUGAGAGGCUGAGAGGGGGAGUGGGCUAAUAUGCCCCUCUAUUGUAACAAAAUCCACUUUAGCCCCUCCACUUUUCAUCUCUCAACCUGCUAUCACUAGGCAGUUUUCACCCAGAGGGACCGGUCUCCCCGACAAGGGACCAGUCCCCGAGAGCUGUCCCCGCAGCCUGGGGAUUUUACGCGUACGGGAACCGGUCCUCCCCCGAGGGACCGGUCCCUGGGAGACCGGUCUUUCCUGAGAGACCGGUUCCCGAACGGGGAACUUUCAGGACUUAGCCAAAUUUAGGCUCUCCCUCGCGGGUGUCGCGCACGGGGACCGGUCCCUUCAACCAGGGACCGGUCGCAUCGACCUCCCCCGCGACCAUCAGUUACGGGGACCGGUCCUCCCCUCCAAGGACCGGUCCCCGAGAGCAAAAUCGGCUGAGUCCAGAUUUUGCCUAUUUGCUCUCGCGGACUCAACUCCAAAGCACUUUUUGUGUUUUGGACGUUUUCAACUCCCACAAAUGGUAUACUCUCAACAAUUAGUCGAUCCAGAAUGAAGUACAACUCUCGGAUUUCGAGAAUUCACUUCCUUACACAUAGAAAGGAGCCCGGUUGCUUCGGGAUGACACCACCCACCUUUUGAUGAUGUGGAGGGUUCGGAAACGCUAUUUGGCGUGCUUUACG
This 998-nucleotide long non-coding RNA is filed under the name Ananas comosus (pineapple). RNAcentral describes it as "long non-coding RNA (ACOM_LNC035244)". The record is from RNAcentral. Lineage: Eukaryota; Viridiplantae; Streptophyta; Magnoliopsida; Poales; Bromeliaceae.